Molecule: long non-coding RNA, 447 nt
Filed under: Pongo abelii (Sumatran orangutan)
Lineage: Eukaryota; Metazoa; Chordata; Mammalia; Primates; Hominidae
Description: lincRNA
Source: RNAcentral
CUAGGCACAAGCAAAUUACACCAUUAAUGUCAUCCUGGUGAAUGAAACAAGAGAAUAGUAUUUAUCAGAGAAAGUCUGGUGAGUUGAAGUCUGAGACCCCAGGAAAAAACUAGCCCUCCUGGGCUGCCCCUCCUUUGGAGUGGGACUAUGAUCCACAUCAGGCCAAUCCGAGUCACAGAAUGGUCUAGGCAUUGGAUGACUGCCCCAAUCUGAGCCAAGGAAGGUCAUUGCUGAGACAUUUUGCUGGUUGCCAGGCUGCAGGCAUCCCAGGCUUCCUGCUGCCCUCAUGUCUGCAACCUGUGGUCUGGAACAUUCCAGGAGCCACUUUUAUCACUUGCAGCAAUCUUCUUCAGUGAGUUCCCCAGGACUUGAUUUCAUCUUACAAUCUGAUUCCAUGUGUCUCCCAUAUUUUAAGGAUUCUUUAUAAUUUCUGGCUUACAGAGAACA